Canis lupus familiaris (dog) is the source of this 2544-nucleotide long non-coding RNA. RefSeq lists it as uncharacterized. Lineage: Eukaryota; Metazoa; Chordata; Mammalia; Carnivora; Canidae. The record is from RefSeq and is a predicted model, not a curated record. The transcript is spliced from 4 exons.
AUUACGUGGAAAGUUAUCAUAACCAAGUCUGUUGUUCACAGAAUGAUUUUUAAGAAAUACUCUUCAGAAAGGAAGAGCUGAGUUUUGUUAUGUUACUUCCCAUCAUAAUUAAAAAACACUUCAUUUUGUUCAAAUUAUCCUUAGAAUUUGCAUUUCUUUUUGAAUUGAAAUUCGUAAAUGGUGUUAUCUGUUGAUUUUCAAACACCUGUGUUACAAAAGACUUUUCCUCAAGCAGGGUCAUUUGUUGAGUCAGAGUAUUUCUUCUGAAAAGGCUACAUCAAAGAGCAAGUGUUUGUCAUUCAAAUUUUGCCCUUUCUCACCUUGAUCACGUAUGAGGAGUUCAGUUCCAGGCCAAAAAAAAAAAAAAGAAAAAUCUACGUGUGAUUCUUUUCCAGGCCAGACCAAUAGGCAAUUACAAAGGCUUUAUCUAGCAGGCUUUGUGAAGGAAAAUUACCCUUUGUGAUGGUUAAUUUUAUGUGUUAAUAUGACUGGACCAUGGGAUGCCCAGAUAUCAGUUUAAACAUAAUUUCUGGGUAUGUCUGCAAAGAUAUUUCUAGAAGAGAUGAGCAUUUGAAUAAUGGAGGAGUUAGUAAAGCAGAUGGCCUCCCACGUGUGGGCGGGCAACAUCCAAUCCCUUGCGGGCCUGAAUGAAACAUUGAGGUAGGGAAAGGCUGAGUUCUCUCUCUGCUUGAUUGGUUAGGUUCCGACAUCAAUCUUUACCUGCCUUGGAUGCUCCUGGUUGUCUGGACUUCAGACUUGGAUGGGGAUCUAUUCCAUGGGUUCUCCGCCUCUUAGGCCUUCAACCUCCACCGCUGGCCUGCUUGGGACUCCAGCUUGCAGAUGGCAGACCAUGGGGCUUUCCAGCCUCCAUAAUUGUAUGAGUCAACACCUUAUAAUAAAUCUCUUUAUAUAAAUUAACCCCUCCACACACACAUACUUUUUUUUUUUUGGCCAUACAUUCAUGUGUAGUGAACAUAUCCAUUCUGUUCUGUUUCUCUGGAGAACCCUAACAUAUAUCCCCCUGCACACAGACUUGGUGUACAGCCAGUGCUUUGCAGUCCCUGAAAGGAAUCCCUCAGGGCCCCCUGGCCAGCCAUGCUCUUAUGCAUUCCUGCAUUCCUAGGCCAGCACUUGCAUUUGGAGGUCUUCUAAUAUAGUUUCCCCCACUCAGAUGCAGUACCCUGUUCUUUUCAAAUUCCAGUCCUCCCCUCUCCCCUGACCUCCAGGUCCUUUAAAUUGCAGCAGCCUUUUGUUCUGGGCUCCCCAGGCUGGGAGAGAACCCUCACCCCCACAUUGGUGCUGACUCUCCUGUCUCUUCAACCAGGACACUGUUCUCUGGGGGACGGGACAGUUGGCUGCUUUCUCCAGACGAGCCUCUUGCUUUUACUAUCACAGUGAGUAAGAUUAAAGCCUUCCCCUCUUGUUUCAUUUUGGCUCAUUGUUUUUAAUUUGCUACUCAGGCAGUUCGGUUCCCUCCUACUUGGCGCCGAUGGUUUCUGGCAACCUGGUUCCCAUCAGCGAAAGCCCUUACCAUAAAAUUGGACAUAUCUCAGGUCCGGCGAUACAUCUGCCGCAGACUCGUCACCUUCACCACACAAUAAAAUGAUGCUCUCCGUCCUGGAGAAGGAGGAGAUGGGAGUCUUCGCAGAGAACCUGCCAUGUGGUCGCUGGCUCCUGGUGUGGGCUGGAGUGUUUUCAGAAAUGCAAUUCUUAUUUGAAUCAGCGCUCACCCGAAGCGAUUUGCCAUGUCCGUGGCACCCAUGUCCAGAUACGUAAUUCCAUGCAUUUCCUGCUCCAGGAUGCUGCCUUUGCUACUACGGCUAGGCCUGUUUUCUGCGGUCCUCUCAGGCGUGGAAAGGAAACCGUGAAUCCAAGUACCUCCUAACCCUGGUGGAUUGAAGAGGACCCACCGGCUGAAAUUUCGGCAGGUCUGGGAAUUCUCCAACCGGGGUGCCUGCUGGACUCCUAGUUUCCAGUUUGGCUCUUACCUGGCUUCCGUCUGCAAUACUGUAGCCCCCCUCCCUCUUUUCUUCCCUUACGCAGCCCUUGGUACCUCCAACGGACCUUCAUGUGUGAUGCCAUCCGUUAAGUGGAACAGCAGUAAUAGUCCCCCAGCUUGUAGAUGCCAGAGCCACCACUGGGAAGGAAGCUGUGACUCAUUUCUAAUAACUUAAAAGCCCACCUUGGAGGGAAGGGCGAUUACUCUGAGAUUACUGAGACCUGCUUGAGGCCUGGGCAUCCCCAGCCAGUGCUGUGCGUUGCAGCGCGCGGGGCAGUCCCACUGCUCCCCACCUGCGCCUGGCCUCCUUGCUGACCGGAGACGUCAUGCCAAGCUCCUUGCCAGGAGCUCGACUCCUGGCCCCUCUCUCAGGGCCUCAUGGACGCAUCUCCAAAAUCAGGGUCUCACUGGGUGUUAUGCUAUAUGUUGGCAAAUUGAGCUCCAAUAAAAAAUAAAAAUAAAAAAAAAAAGCAGGGUCUCUAAAACCACUCACUUUCUUGGGCUGGAUUUCAAGAGUUGAAACCAAUUCUGCUGUUUCUUUCACU